This is a small nuclear RNA of Tursiops truncatus (common bottlenose dolphin), 107 nucleotides long. NCBI's taxonomy places the organism in Eukaryota, Metazoa, Chordata, Mammalia, Artiodactyla, Delphinidae. The record is from Ensembl.
GUGCACGCUUCCACAGCACAUAUACUAAAAUUGCAACAAUACAGAGAAGAUUAGCAUGGCCCCUGCACAAGGAUGACAUGCAAAUUCGUGAAGCAUUCCACAUUUUU